This is a non-coding RNA of Fukomys damarensis (Damara mole-rat), 105 nucleotides long. The record is from Rfam. Lineage: Eukaryota; Metazoa; Chordata; Mammalia; Rodentia; Bathyergidae.
GCUCAGUUUGGCAGUGCAUAUACUAAAAGUGGGAUGAUACAGAGAAGAUUAGCAUGGCCCCUGCGCAAGGAUAACACUCAAAUUUGUGACGCAUUCCAUAUUUAU